CAACAGGGAUUGCCCUAGUAACGGCGAGUGAAGCGGCAACAGCUCAAAUUUGAAAUCUGGCUCUUUCAGAGUCCGAGUUGUAAUUUGCAGAGGGCGCUUUGGUGUUGGCAGCGGUCCAAGUUCCUUGGAACAGGACGUCACAGAGGGUGAGAAUCCCGUACGUGGUCGCUAGCCUCCGCCGUGUAAAGCCCCUUCGACGAGUCGAGUUGUUUGGGAAUGCAGCUCUAAAUGGGAGGUAAAUUUCUUCUAAAGCUAAAUACUGGCCAGAGACCGAUAGCGCACAAGUAGAGUGAUCGAAAGAUGAAAAGCACUUUGGAAAGAGAGUCAAAUAGCACGUGAAAUUGUUGAAAGGGAAGCGCUUGCAGCCAGACUUGCCUGUAGUUGCUCAUCUGGGCUUUUGCCCGGUGCAUUCUUCUGCAGGCAGGCCAGCAUCAGUUUGGGCGGUUGGAUAAAGGUCUCUGUCAUGUACCUCUCUUCGGGGAGGCCUUAUAGGGGAGACGUCAUGCAACCAGCCUGGACUGAGGUCCGCGCAUUUGCUAGGAUGCUGGCGUAAUGGCUGUAAGCGGCCCGUCUUGAAACACGGACCAAGGAGUCUAACAUCUAUGCGAGUGUUUGGGUGUCAAGCCCGAGCGCGUAAUGAAAGUGAACGGAGGUGGGAACCCUUUUAGGGUGCACCAUCGACCGAUCCUGAUGUCUUCGGAAGGAUUUGAGUAAGAGCAUGGCUGUUGGGACCCGAAAGAUGGUGAACUAUGCUUGAAUAGGGUGAAGCCAGAGGAAACUCUGGUGGAGGCUCGCAGCGGUUCUGACGUGCAAAUCGAUCGUCAAAUUUGGGCAUAGGGGCGAAAGACUAAUCGAAC
RNAcentral lists this ribosomal RNA (857 nucleotides) under Sphaerellopsis paraphysata. RNAcentral's name for it is "eukaryotic LSU rRNA". It matches the Rfam family "Eukaryotic large subunit ribosomal RNA", at positions 66 to 940 of the family's 3401-position model. Lineage: Eukaryota; Fungi; Ascomycota; Dothideomycetes; Pleosporales; Leptosphaeriaceae. The record is from RNAcentral.